Long non-coding RNA from Leucoraja erinaceus (little skate), 2825 nucleotides. RefSeq lists it as uncharacterized. NCBI's taxonomy places the organism in Eukaryota, Metazoa, Chordata, Chondrichthyes, Rajiformes, Rajidae. The record is from RefSeq and is a predicted model, not a curated record. The transcript has 5 exons.
AAGAGGCCUCCUCGUUCAGGGUGCGUCAGAUUCCUGAUGAGGUAACGAAAGUGAAAGGUGAAAAUGUAUCCCUAUACUGUACUUUCCCGAACUUCGGUCAGAAUGCACUGGUGGAUGUAUACUGGAAGAGAGACGGUCAAGAAGGGACGUUGAAUCCCACCGCAAACAGGAGGAUGACAAUGCACAAUGUCCUGAAGGGAUCUGCCGAAUUACAUCUGUUGAACGCGACCUUCCGUGACUCCGGGAUCUAUUAUUGCAGUGUGAGAGGCGGGAAUGGAAAGAUUUCCAAAAGCAAUGGCACGAGGAUUAUUGUACACGUGUCACCGACGCCUUUGAAGAUAAAACAGAUGAACGCUCCUUCCCUGGCCCUAAACUGUACGACUGCUCCGUUUUUCCCGGCGGACUGUGAACUCACCUGGUAUAAAGAUGGCCAAGAAAUAACUUCUGGAAUAAAUACCACUAAAAUACGGAACGAAGAGGGAUUAUACGUUGCUUCCAGCUUCCUGCAUGUAGUGGAUCGCCGAUCGGUUUAUAGUUGCCACGUGUUUCACGUCACCCUCCUGGUUCCGACCGUUGAAACUCACAGUUUUCCUGGAAUGGGAACACGCGUUAAACUCGUCUACUUUCUGGCGGGUGGAUUUGCCAUAUGCGUGCUAAUUAUUCCAGCGCUGGUGUGUUAUGUCAGGCGGUACAAAUUACACAGUACUGAAGGUAAGAAUUGAUUUGAUCCUUGUACGAAAUUAGCGACACAGUGCUGGAAUAACUCUGCGGUUUGGCAACAUCUGAAUAGACAAUGGAUAGGGGACUUUUGGGGUUGAGCCGGAACUUCGACUAUCGAUGUCCCCCGUAGAUGCUGCCUAACCCACUGAAUUACUUCCGAAAAUAGCAAUGUUCAGUUGAAGGUGGAACGAGGAGUGCUGAAAUAACGAUUUAGACCACCUGGCCUUUUUCCGGCCCGCAGCAUUCUGUGGCAAACAUCAUUUUAACCGGUUUAAGCCGUUGGUUGCAAAAUCAUUGUUUUCGUUUGUUCUAAAAGAAGGCGUUUUUAAACACUAGGUGAAAUGCUGCAAAGGUCGGGUUGUUUAAAUAGGGGGCAGUUAUCACAGGAAAGCGGAAGCAAACAAUAGGUUUUCAACUUUUCCGUGUGCUUUUCCUUAGCAUUAGGACUAACGAGGAGAGGAUUUGUUUAAAUAACAAGAUAGCAUGAUCGCAAUGGUCAAUUUCUGCAGCCGAACGAAUCUGGUCACAACUCGAUUAUUAACUGACUAUCGGCAGGCAGGUUGUGAUACGUUGAUGAUUAAAUUUGGUCUUUUUAUUAUGUUCUCUACUAGCACCUGAAAAUAUUGAAGCCAGAACCCACCAUUUCGAAAAACAGUAUCCUUCGUAUGCAGAUAUGAACUUCAGCGGACAGAAGAAAACUACGAAAAACAAACGCCACGAAGAACGAACAACCUAUGGCCAGGUCAAAGAAGUGUCAGAACAUAAACUGACCUAUGCAACUCUGGAUCUCGCCGCUUCUCUGAAACAUUCAAGAACGGCGAAGAACAAUGAAACAGAGUAUGCAGGAAUCAGGAUUUUUCAAUAGCUGUGAAACCAGCUAGCGUCCAUUCACUCUGAAGCGAACGAUAUUUCAAUUACAUAAGCCUGAUUAACAUUGUGUCGCAGAUCGUACAGACAAUCAUUUACAAGACAAUGCGCAGUGAGCAGGGGAUUUUAAUGAGAGAUUAUCUACUUUGAUGAAUGUUACCCUUAAUAAGGGCUGUUCGGCACAAUAAAUGCCUUUGCCCGCAAAUCCUAGCUAACCGCAUAAGAUCAUCGCUCUACUUUUUUCCUAUCUAAGUGCCUGGGGAAAUGCAAGUGAAAGGCUGUAUUUUUGUCAGCUCGUCCAUGGUAGUAACCACAUUCUGUGUACAUAAUUAUCCCACGCUUUUCUACUCAUCUCAUUUUAAGCAUACCCUCGCCAGUUAAACAUAUCUCCACAAUAUUAAGAUAAAGACCCUGAACAUCUAUCCUGUCUGUACUCCUCAUAGUUUAAGAAAACUGAACAUAUGCAUCGUAUGAAGCAUUUUAUCGGGAUGUAUCACAGGUGACGUGGGAAUAGCUCCAUCCUAGACCGCAAGAAAUAGCAGAGAAUUGUGGACCAGCCCAGACCGUCACGCAAACCAUCUCCCUGCCAUUAACUCCAUCUACACUGCGCGCUGCCUCGCAAAGCCAUCGGUAUAAUCAAGGUAGGGUCUCAACCCGAACACUCCAACUUCUCCCCUCACCCACUAGGCAAGAGGGACAGAGUAUGAAAACGCAUACGUCCAGAUCCAGUGACAGUUUCUUCCCAGCUGUGGUCGUGUCAUUUGGAUGGGAACAUACAGGGCAAGAUUAGCAAGUUUGUUGAUGAUACAAAAGUGAGUGGUUUUGCAGAUAGUAAAGACUGUUGUGAAAGAUAGCAGCAGGAUCUGGAUCGAUUAGCCAGGUGGGCUGAGGAAUGGUUGAUGGAAUGGAAUACAGGGAAAUGUGAGGUGUUACAUUUUAGAACACUUAUGGGGUGAAAUUUGAAAGAAUUGUCAUGUAUACCUCAAGCGUAUGAGGCUGAAUGGCGACCUGCUACACGCGUGUCAAAUUAUUGAGGUAAUAGACAGUUACGAUAGUCAGAAUAGAUUUCUAAUUCAAGCCAUAUAAGAAUCAAGAAGGCAGAAAUAAUAUGCAACACUGACAUUCAAGAAGUAAAACGGGUUUAUUGAUUCACAGAGAUUAACAGCAAAAAUAAUUACUACGAUAUAUUGGUAUGAUAUAGAUUUAGCACGGAAAUGUUCACUCACAAUAAAAAGAUG